This 261-nucleotide ribosomal RNA is filed under the name uncultured bacterium. Its description in RNAcentral is "partial 16S ribosomal RNA". It matches the Rfam family "Bacterial small subunit ribosomal RNA", at positions 99 to 354 of the family's 1533-position model. The record is from RNAcentral.
CGAACGGGUGAGUAACACGUGGGCAACCUGCCCAAAAGAGGGGGAUAACACUUGGAAACAGGUGCUAAUACCGCAUAACCAUAGUUACCGCAUGGUAACUAUGUAAAAGGUGGCUAUGCUACCGCUUUUGGAUGGGCCCGCGGCGCAUUAGCUAGUUGGUGGGGUAAAGGCUUACCAAGGCAAUGAUGCGUAGCCGAACUGAGAGGUUGAUCGGCCACAUUGGGACUGAGACACGGCCCAAACUCCUACGGAAGGCAGCAG